RNAcentral lists this long non-coding RNA (3258 nucleotides) under Triticum aestivum (bread wheat). RNAcentral describes it as "long non-coding RNA (TAES_LNC001334)". Lineage: Eukaryota; Viridiplantae; Streptophyta; Magnoliopsida; Poales; Poaceae. The record is from RNAcentral.
UGACGCCUCUGAUUUGACCAUACACUAAUCAUACACGCAAAUGUGUACGACCAGGAUCAUGGACUCACGAAAAGAUAUCACAACACAACUCUAGACACAAAUGGAAAUAAUACAAGCUUUAUAUUACAAGCCAGGGGCCUCGAGGGCUCGAAUACAUAACCUCGAAAACACAAGAGUCAGCAGAAGCAAUAAUAUCUGAGUACAGAUAUAAGUUAAACAAGUUUUGCCUUAAGAAGGCUAGCACAAAAGUAGAAACGAUCGAAAAGGCAAGGCCUCCUGCCUGGGACCUCCUAACUACUCCUCGAAGCCGAACUCCACGUAGAAACAUCCUCGGGAUCCUCUGGCUCCUGGACUUCAUCAUUUGGUUGCGGCAUCCGAAAAGAAAGGAAAAGGGGGGAAAGAGGAAGCAAAGCAACCGUGAGUACUCAUCCAAAGUACUCGCAAGCAAGGAUCUACACUACAUAUGCAUUGGUAUCAAAUGGAAAAGGGUAGUAUAUGUGGACUGAACUGCAGAAUGCCAGAAUAAGAGGGGGAUAGCUAGUCCUAUCGAAGACUACGCUUCUGGCAGCCUCCAUCUUGAAGCAUGUAGAAGAGAGUAGAUGGUAAGUUCACCAAGUAGCAUCGUAUAGCAUAAUCCUACCCGGCAAUCCUCCCCUCGUCGCCUUGUGUGAGAGAGAGAUCACUGGGUUGUAUCUGGCACUUGAAAGGGUGUGUUUUAUUAAGUAUCCGGUUCUAGUUGUCAUAAGGUCAAGGUACAACUUCGGGUCGUCCUUUUACCGAGGGACACGACUAUUCGAAUAGAUAAACUUCCCUGCAGGGGUGCACCACAUAACCCAACACGCUCGAUCCCCUUUGGCCGGACACACUUUCCUGGGUCAUGCCCGGCCUCGGAAGAUCAACACAUCGCAUCCCCACCUAGGCACAACAGAGAGGUCAGCACACCUGUCUAAACCUAUGACGCAGGGGUCUGGGCCCAUCGCCCAUUGCACACCUGCAUGUUACGAACGUGACCGGAAGCAAACCUAGCCUCCCUAAUACAAGAGCAAGCGUUCCAGUCCAAUCCGGCACGCGCCGGUCAGUCGCUAACGUCAAGAAGGCUUCGGCUGAUACCACGACGUUGAGUGCCCAUAACUGUUCCCGCGUAGUUGGUUAGUGCAUAUAUGUCAGUGGCCAGACUCAGAUCAAAUACCCAGAUCUCGUUAAGCGUGAUAAUUGAAUUAACCGCGGACGCCGACCAGGGCUAGGCACACCUCUCUCCUGGGUGGUCUCAACCUGCCAUGUUGCUCCGCCACAAAGGUUCACUCAGAGGGCCGUCAGGACAAACGUCCUUUCGGACCCAAUCCGUGAAUCACUCACGGAUACUCUAUGAGCCGACCCGACUUUAGUCACCACAAAUAUCUUAUAUUAUGUAUAUAAGCAUAUACCCGUGAUCACCUCCCGAGUGAUCACGGCCUGAUAAUAUAGCAUGGCAGACGGACAAGAAUGUAGGGUCACUGAUGGAAUACUAGCAUCCUAUACAAAGCAUUUAGGAUUGCAAGUAAAGGUAAUAAUAGUGAUAGCAAGGACAAGCUAUGCAUCAGAAUAGGAUUAACGGAAAGCAGGAACAUGCUACGCUACUCUAAUGCAAGCAGUAGAGAGAAGAAUAGGCGAUAUCUGGUGAUAAGGGAGGGGGGCUUGCCUGUAAGCUUAGUCGAGGAGGGGUCGUCAACACCUUAGUCGAACUGGGGUCGCCGGUAGUCUCGAGGUCUACCGGAAAGAAGUAACGGAGAGGGAACACAAUAAAUAACAGAGCAAGCAAAGCAUCACAAAGCGUAACAUGGCAAAAUGCGGUGCUAGAUGUGACAUAACGCAGAGAUAGGUGAUACCGGCAAAGGGCGAAAAACAUCCGCGUAAGUAUUCCCGGUGUUUGACAUUUUCGGGCAGAUGAAACGGAAGGGGAUUGUUGCAUGUUUGCUAUGCUAGAGAUGUGUGGCAGACGAACGGACCGCGUAUUCGGAUUCGCCUCGUCGUUCUAAGUGACUUUCAUGUACAAAGUAUUUUCAUCCGAAUUAUAGAUUAUUCUAUAUUAAUUUUCAAAGUUUUAAAUGAUUUUCUAAUUUAUUGGAUCUAAUUUAAAUCAAAAAAUAAUAUAUACUAACUGUUGUGGGUACACAGAGAAGUGUACCCAGGGGGUGUAAUGUGUGGCUGACAGUGGGCCAGGAUCAAAGUCAACAGUACCAAGUCAACAGUUGACUUAGUCAGCAUUGACUGGUCCACAUGGUCAAAUGGCCCCGCAUGUCAUGGAUUAAUUACCUGGACAAAUUUAUUAAUCUAGUCAUUAUAGUAGCGGGGCCCAAUGUCAUUGAUACAGUAGGCUAACUACACUAAAAUUAUGCCCUGACUAAUUAAAUCUUAAGGCAAUUAAGCAGGCCAGCCGCACAUGCCAAGGCAUAGCCGUGCCUCACACACGUGUACGCACAUGGUGGCCAUGGCCAUGGCACAAGAGGUGGUACCGGAGUGGCUAAGAGAUGCGUGAGUCGGUGAGUGGCCAGGGGCUCACACGGAGCAGCAAGCAAAAAGCAUCAGCAGUCAAUUGAGCAGCGGCGGCGGCGGCAACAGAGCAAGCACAAAGCAGCCGGCGACGAGCAGUAGCAUUAGAGAGCAGCAACAACAACAUGUAGCAGCAGUGGGAGGCUUCAGCAGAGAGCAGCAACGCUACCAGCGGCUGCAAGCAGGGCAGAGCGGACGGGCACGGCCAGCAUGCUGGUCGGGCGGUAGGGGGCGCGCACGUGCGUGACACGGCCAGGGCGUUGGGUUGGGCGCCCACGCGAGCAGAGCUCCGGCCGCAGCCACGGCGGAGUGUCGGACGCGGUGGAACCAGCGGCUAGAGGACGGGAACGAGAAGGGGGGCAAGGGGAAAAUGACGGCAAGCUCACAGCGUUGACGAGCAGCUCGGUGAAGCCGAAGAAGGUCGAGGGCGAGUGAAUCGAGCGGAUCUUCGUGGCCGCCGUGGCAGAGGAAGAAGACACGACGUCUAUGGGGCAGCUUCCCGGGCUCGAUCUGGUGGCUCCGGCGAUGAAUGCGAAGGCGGAGUGCUCCUGGACACGCUAACCCAGCGCGGCGACGACGGGGAGCACGGGAACGGCGGGGGUCAUGGCGACGGCGGCUGCGGUUGCGGGCGGGAUCGACGAGGGAGAGAGCGAGGGGGGAUGCGUAUCUAGGAUUUGUCCGUGAGGCGAGGGGUGGCCUUAUCCACCGCCGGGGCACGCGGGAUGGCCG